UUCCCCUGUUCUUGGUUUCGGAAGCCACAGCUCCUCUUUGGUGUUCUGAUGGCCGCGUCUAUCUCCCUUCCACCUUCCCAAUUUCUUCUCUUUCCACGCCGUUCCCCUCCUCCUCCACCUAUUCCUCAUCCUCAACUCGUGAGUCCACCUCGCAAGUCCACCCUUUGCUGCUCUUCUUCUUCGACUCCUUCCGCAGAUGCUUCUUAUCCAGUUGUAACCGAAGAAGCAGCAGAGGAAGAAGACGAUAGCUCCACCCUUCCUCUUCCUAGAGAAGGAUUCUCCCCUUAGGAAGCCGAAUCACUGAUUGAAGGCCCAGAGGGUCCCCAGUUCAGGGCCUGCAAGACCUGUGGAAGAGAGGAAAUUGAGAAAGGUUGCAAUGGCAAGGGACGGAUUCAGGGCGGGAUAGCCACUGUCCCGGGCUUUGGCUGGUGGCCGAUAAAAGCCUUUAGGCCAUGCCCUGGAUUUGUGGCAUCUGGUGGCCGAUAUAGGAGGCAAGGGCAAAGCAUGGACGAGGUUGCAUUUGGCAGGGGGGAAAGGGAGAUGUCCACCAAGAACAUUAAUAAACCUAACUAAAGCAAGAAAAAGCAAGGACCAAGUAGCUUGAAGAGAUGAAAAUACAGGCUCUGUGCUCGAUGACGACGAGGCAACCCAGCAAGAUCAUAUCUGAAUGAUACCUUGCUCGCAUUACUCUUUACCAUAUUUGUUUGUGGUACUAAAUUUUACACGUAUCACCAUUGGAAAAAUGCUUUGUAUUAUUGUAGUUGUUGAAGAUUUCCGAUUUCAGAUUGGAGCAAGGUUUGUGCUCUUACGGUUGAUCUCGUCGUAAUGCUGCUUAUCGGGAAGUGUUACACUCCAUUGGCUUUACAUGGUUAUCUAUGCGAUGUCUGUACUGUAGAAGCCACAAUUCAACCAAGAUUUGUAUUGAUCUUUCAUCUCAGAACUGCAUGAGACAGGAAACCAUUCAAACUAUGGUUUUACUCCCAUCACAUUUUCUGAAAUAACAAGUACAUGUUUGAUGUUUUACGAA
Long non-coding RNA from Musa acuminata AAA Group (dessert banana), 1027 nucleotides. RefSeq lists it as uncharacterized. The record is from RefSeq and is a predicted model, not a curated record. The transcript is spliced from 3 exons. NCBI's taxonomy places the organism in Eukaryota, Viridiplantae, Streptophyta, Magnoliopsida, Zingiberales, Musaceae.